GGUCGCUUCUCUCCUAAUCAAAAUCAAAUUCAGACACCAGUCGACUCUUCAUUGUCACUGUCCUUUAGUUCAAUUCGGCAUCCAUCAAUUGGAGUUCCACAGUCAACUGGGUUGACCCUUUCUUCUUGCAGCCCGGUAUCUUGGACUACCCUUUAUUGGCCAUGCCCUCUUCUUUUCAGCAGGGUCAUUGGCUUUGAGUAACUAAUUGCAUGGACGUCAACGACAAUGAACUUUGUAAUUUAUUUCAAUUUUUUCUUCCUGUAAAGCUCAACAGGACAUCAGUAUGAUGUCCAUAAAUGGACAUGCCCCGCAAUACGUUUGCUUCUUGGGGAGUAUAGUUCGGAAAUACAUGAUGAACAAAUUGGAAUAUGGAGGAGAAAAUUUGUACAGGAUUCUCGACUUCAUUCUUGCGUUAUAUCAACAGAGUAAUCAAAUUUUUCUAGGUGCUCGCA
Eucalyptus grandis is the source of this 452-nucleotide long non-coding RNA. RefSeq lists it as uncharacterized. Lineage: Eukaryota; Viridiplantae; Streptophyta; Magnoliopsida; Myrtales; Myrtaceae. The record is from RefSeq and is a predicted model, not a curated record. The transcript has 2 exons.